CGUAUGGCGACCGGCGCACGGGUGAGUAACGCGUAUGCAACCUGCCCGAUACCGGGGUAUAGCCCAUGGAAACGUGGAUUAACACCCCAUAGUACUUUUAUCCUGCCUGGGAUAGGAGUUAAAUGUUCAAGGUAUCGGAUGGGCAUGCGUCCUAUUAGUUAGUUGGCGGGGUAACAGCCCACCAAGACGAUGAUAGGUAGGGGUUCUGAGAGGAAGGUCCCCCACAUUGGAACUGAGACACGGUCCAA
Molecule: ribosomal RNA, 248 nt
Filed under: uncultured bacterium
Lineage: Bacteria
Description: partial 16S ribosomal RNA
Rfam family: Bacterial small subunit ribosomal RNA
Source: RNAcentral